AAACCAGCACCUCAAGUGGUCAGGAUGAUUAUUGGGCCUAAAGCAUCCGUAGCCUGCUUUAUCAGUUUUCGGUUAAAUCCACACGCUCAACGUAUGGGCUGCCGGGAAUACUGUAAAGCUAGGGAGUGGGAGAGGUAGACGGUACUCGGGAGGAAGGGGUAAAAUCCUUUGAUCUCUCGAUGACCACCUGUGGCGAAGGCGGUCUACCAGAACACGUCCGACGGUGAGGGAUGAAAGCUGGGGGAGCAAACCGGAUUAGAAACCCCGGUAGUCC
Molecule: ribosomal RNA, 274 nt
Filed under: uncultured bacterium
Lineage: Bacteria
Description: partial 16S ribosomal RNA
Rfam family: Archaeal small subunit ribosomal RNA
Source: RNAcentral